This is a long non-coding RNA of Hemicordylus capensis (graceful crag lizard), 820 nucleotides long. RefSeq lists it as uncharacterized. The record is from RefSeq and is a predicted model, not a curated record. Lineage: Eukaryota; Metazoa; Chordata; Lepidosauria; Squamata; Cordylidae. The transcript is spliced from 6 exons.
CCUGAACUGGAGUAGGCUUGCAGGGAGGCCCCAAGGAAGGAAGGAAGGAGGCAGGCAGGCAGAGUGGCCCCCACAGCUCUCUGCAGCAGACCCUCUGCCCAGCCCAGCAUUUGCCAGUUUGGUGUUAUGUGAGAAGGCAACCAGUGCCACGUUGCAAUCAAUUGCAGAAUGCCUUGCUGCUGAGUUUCCUGCUCCAGGAACUAUUACCAAAAGUAGAAGUGAGAGCGAUCGUAUGUGUGUACCCACAAAUUGGCAGAACAAUACAAUAUAUAAGGCCUCACCUUCAGCUGUGGAUGAGCAGAAGAUGGCACGGGGCUGCACCAACCAGGGGAAACCCACUGGCAAGCUGAACAGAGUCUGUUCCCCAGGUCCAGACGUUUGGCUAGUGAAACCCAAUGGGAAUGCACCUCUGGUUUUGUAUGGUGUCUGAAUCCAGCCAGAGAAAGACCUUCACAAUUCUUGGUUUCCAAUAUGUUCUGGUUCCAUCUGUGAUGCUGAAAAGCUGAUUCAUGAUUUUGAACAUUUAGGCUAACCACGUCCAGUUAAGAAACUAUUGCAUGGAGGAAGACCUUACCUAAAGAGUUAUUUUCUGUUUCAACAUUUAACAGUCAAAAUGUGGCCUGAGGUUGUACCUGAAGUUUCCUCAGCUUUAACACAACACCAUUUCAAAAUAUUUCCAAGGUAAUACAAGAAGCACCAGACUUGUUUCAAACACUUUUGUAACCCAACAAUAAAGUAUUGUGUUGGGGUAAAUCUUCACUGUGUUUUAUAGAAGGAAAGCUGAACCAUGACAUCCGGAUAAGUCUAUCCUACUUGUGUA